AUGAACGCUGGCGGCGUGCCUAAUACCUGCCAGUCGAGCGAACAGAUGAGGAGCUUGCUCCUCUGACGUUAGCGGCGGACGGGUGAGUAACACGUGGAUAACCUAUCUAUAAGACUGGGAUAACUUCGGGAAACCGGAGCUAAUACCGGAUAAUAUAUUGAACCGCAUGGUUCAAUAGUGAAAGACGGUUUUGCUGUCACUUAUAGAUGGAUCCGCGCCGCAUUAGCUAGUUGGUAAGGUAACGGCUUACCAAGGCAACGAUGCGUAGCCGACCUGAGAGGGUGAUCGGCCACACUGGAACUGAGACACGGUCCAGACUCCUACGGGAGGCAGCAGUAGGGAAUCUUCCGCAAUGGGCGAAAGCCUGACGGAGCAACGCCGCGUGAGUGAUGAAGGUCUUCGGAUCGUAAAACUCUGUUAUUAGGGAAGAACAAAUGUGUAAGUAACUAUGCACGUCUUGACGGUACCUAAUCAGAAAGCCACGGCUAACUACGUG
RNAcentral lists this ribosomal RNA (496 nucleotides) under uncultured bacterium. Its description in RNAcentral is "partial 16S ribosomal RNA". It matches the Rfam family "Bacterial small subunit ribosomal RNA", at positions 29 to 507 of the family's 1533-position model. The record is from RNAcentral.